CCUACGGGAGGCAGCAGUGAGGAAUAUUGGUCAAUGGGCGGAAGUCUGAACCAGCCAAGUAGCGUGCAGGAUGACUGCCCUACGGGUUGUAAACUUCUUUUAUAUGGGAAUAAAACAGGGUAUGCAUACCCCCUUGUAUGUACCAUAUGAAUAAGGAUCGGCUAAUUCCGUGCCAGCAGCCGCGGUAAUACGGAGGAUCCGAGCGUUAUCCGGAUUUAUUGGGUGUAAAGGGAGCGUAGGUGGAUUGUCAAGUCAGUUGUGAAAGUUUGGGGCUCAACCGUAGCAUUGCAGCGCGAACUGGCGGUCUUGAGUACAGUAGAGGCAGGCGGAAUUCGUGGUGUAGCGGUGAAAUGCUUAGAUAUCACGAAGAACCCCGAUUGCGAAGGCAGCUCACUGGACUGGAACUGACACUGAGGCUCGAAAGUGUGGGUAUCGAACAGGAUUAGAUACCCGUGUAGUC
RNAcentral lists this ribosomal RNA (460 nucleotides) under uncultured bacterium. RNAcentral describes it as "partial 16S ribosomal RNA". It matches the Rfam family "Bacterial small subunit ribosomal RNA", at positions 338 to 795 of the family's 1533-position model. The record is from RNAcentral.